This 291-nucleotide ribosomal RNA is filed under the name uncultured bacterium. RNAcentral's name for it is "partial 16S ribosomal RNA". It matches the Rfam family "Bacterial small subunit ribosomal RNA", at positions 44 to 334 of the family's 1533-position model. The record is from RNAcentral.
GUGCCUAACACAUGCAAGUCGAACGAGAAAGUGGAGCAAUCCAUGAGUAAAGUGGCGACCGGGUGAGUAACACGUGACUAACCUACCCUAAAGUGGGGGAUAACCUCGGGAAACCGGGGCUAAUACCGCAUAACAUCGCGAGGGGAAGAUCCUUGCGAUCAAAGGAGCAAUUCGCUGAAGGAGGGGGUCGCGGCUGAUUAGCUAGUUGGUGAGGUAACGGCCCACCAAGGCUUAGAUCAGUAGCCGGCCUGAGAGGGCGCACGGCCACACUGGAACUGAAACACGGUCCAG